AUCAGCCACGAUAGCUGCUCUCGCAAGCCUCCAAAAAGCCUGACAAUUUCGUAACACACUGCUUUUAACCGUCCGCAUGUCUGAUGGAAAAUUGUGUCAUUGUGUACAAUUGGUGAGCUUUGUGUGCGUUACUUAGCUUUGCAAAAUUAUUGCCAUACACAGCUACUGGUGGGUUUGACAGCACCUACCGGGCAUGCGAAGAGUUAAAGAAAAACUGAUUGACAGUUACCGAGCAGACAUCCAGCCGAAGCUCCAAUAAACGACAGUGCUGCCAUCGCUGUUCAGGUUGACAACAGUGCCGUUCUCGACAAUGUGGCUCGCAUAUUCCAUUGUGGCGUCACUUGUUGCAUUGUCCUGGAAAGGCGAACAUGCAGUAUCGAAUGGUAACUGGCACAAUGGCUGCCGAAUUGAACAGUUUAUUUUAGACGUUCUACACUUGAAGUAGGACACCUGCCGCUUUGCAAAGCGAGUUCCCCUUCCUAGAGUGGGAAAAUUGAGCAAUUUUGACCAAAAUCGAGGGCCAGGUUACCGAAAAUAAUCAGAUUUGUCGAACGACUUGCACUUCGCUGUGGAAUUCAACUACGAUGUCCCUAUGUAAUUUCCGAAGUACAAGGAAUUCAACCACAGAAUAUUACACGAGUUGGAAUGAGGAUCCCCGGGUCACAACAAAAGACCAGCUUUCAAAAUGUUUUAAAAGAGAAAAGUAAUAAUAUCUCUUCAUUUUGAUCCUAGAACUUCCACACCAAUUUACAGCCCUUUUUCUGAUUUCCGUUAUGCAACUUACAGAAUGCAUGUCCACGCUAAGAUAUCUGAAAAUACAUAAAUGCGAAACAUGGACUAAAAUAUAAAUGCAAAUUAUUUCACUUUCGUCUCACUGCGAAAAGGUUGAUGUAGCAAAGUAUUAAUUUUAUAUACAUUUUUUACAGCUAUAUCAAUUGAAUUCGCGAAUUAAUCAGAAGUCCUGUUAUUCAAUAUAUUCUCAUUUCGAUUCGUUUGCGCAUAAUCCACCUUGAUAAUGCCGGAGUGAUUAAUGAUUAUACGACGACCGAAGAUGGCUGCCAUUAACUUUGUGAACAUCAACGCCAACCGUAAAGCAUCAGUAUAUAUAUAUAUGUAUAUGUAUAUAUAAAGUACUUAUUUGAUAGUAAAUACAAUGGAACCUCGACUAGCUCAUGAUACAAAUAGACGAGGUAUAGCCACUAGCGGUUCUGAAAAGUUUUCGUCUUUCCAUUAGUUCAUACGACAAGGAUCCUAACAUUUUUUUGCUACCAUUAUAUUUAAUUGGUCGAACAUUAUCUAUAUAUUUUAAUCAAGAAAAACUUAUAAAAACUUCUAUAACAUAUAUGAAAUUAUUUUGAUGGAGCAUCGAAGUAUUUUUCUCGUAAAUAUUAGAUAUCACUUUGUAAAUUAAUCAACGCGAAAAAUAUAGGGAUAGAAUAUUUUUGUAUCGCCUUCUUUAAACUUUCACUAGAUUCUACAGACUUAUAAUGUACGAAAAAAUUCUUUUAUGUGUGCCUUCAUUUUAAUUAAUAGAUGUACAUACUUAGUUUAUUUUUUUAUCAUUUACGUUCUAUAUUGCGUGUUCAUACAAACAUUUGCUUUAUGAAGUAUCGUGUCAAGGUAUUAUAUAAAUUAAAUGAAGUAGUUUCAAUAUAAAAAAGUAAGUCCGUUAUAGGGGAUUGAACUAGUGAUUCUUUCAUUGUGAAACUGAUUUGCUGUCAUUGUGCUACUAUAAUAUAAACUAUUGGCAAGCGAA
Cephus cinctus (wheat stem sawfly) is the source of this 1756-nucleotide long non-coding RNA. RefSeq lists it as uncharacterized. NCBI's taxonomy places the organism in Eukaryota, Metazoa, Arthropoda, Insecta, Hymenoptera, Cephidae. The transcript is spliced from 5 exons. The record is from RefSeq and is a predicted model, not a curated record.